RNAcentral lists this ribosomal RNA (305 nucleotides) under uncultured bacterium. RNAcentral's name for it is "bacterial SSU rRNA". It matches the Rfam family "Bacterial small subunit ribosomal RNA", at positions 335 to 658 of the family's 1533-position model. The record is from RNAcentral.
UUCCCUACGGGGCGCAGCAGUGGGGGAUAUUGCACAAUGGGGGGAACCCUGAUGCAGCGACGCCGCGUGGGUGAAGAAGCGCCUCGGCGCGUAAAGCCCUGUCAGCAGGGAAGAAAAUGACGGUACCUGAAGAAGAAGCCCCGGCUAACUACGUGCCAGCAGCCGCGGUAAUACGUAGGUGGCGAGCGUUAUCCGGAAUGAUUGGGCGUAAAGGGUGCGUAGGCGGUCGAUUAAGUCUGGAGUGAAAGGUACCGGCUCAACCGGUAUAGGCUCCGGAAACUGAUGGACUGGAGUACAGGAGAGGG